RNAcentral lists this long non-coding RNA (1257 nucleotides) under Brassica rapa (field mustard). RNAcentral describes it as "long non-coding RNA (BRAP_LNC004417)". Lineage: Eukaryota; Viridiplantae; Streptophyta; Magnoliopsida; Brassicales; Brassicaceae. The record is from RNAcentral.
ACUGAUUAAAGUUUUUAUUUAUUGCAGGUAAAAAAAAAAAGAAGAUCCGAGUAGACGAUUGUAAAAAGUUGACCGAUAAGAGCAUGACGAUAUCGAUCGACAGUACAAAACCUGCAGCGACCGAUGAUAACUCCUUUCCAUCUAUUGACACUUAACCCGGUCAGGUUAUCGUUCUCACUUGUUAAAUUUAGUACUUAUGAUUAAUUCUUACCAAAACUCUGACUAGAUAUACAUUGGGGACAGUGUAGUUUAAGUCUGAGGGGAUGUUUACUGAUAUUAGUGUGUUCAUGAGUCUUAUUAAAAUGUUUUCAAAAGAGUUUUAUUGAGUCAAGAAAUGGAUAAUGAACUUAUUGAUUUUUGCUUGUUAUCUAACCACUCUUUAGCACCAUUCUAGAAUUACUGAUUGCAGAUAGUAGUAAAGAUACUAAAGUGGAUCAAUCUGUCAACUAUCCACACUUGCUAAGAUUGUUUGAAGUAACCAAAGCUGACCUCCAACACUAUACCUGACUCCACUGCUUGUCUUGGAGCUUGGUAUACAUGAGAUCGGAUUCUUCAAACCAGUCUGGAAGGUAAAGCCUUGUGUAGAUUUAUCAUCUUUUCUCUCUCUAUUUCGAUCCUAGAUUUAUAGGUAGAGAUAUUUAUUUACAAAAAAAAAAUGAAAAAGAUAAAAAAAGAAAAGAAAAAUACUUAUAUAUAUAAUAGAUGUUAGUUAGGUGGAAUCCGAACAUGACAGACUUGGUGGCUACAACCAUUAAGGCAUGCUUCAUAAGCAUUCCAACAAAAAGAAUUCGAACGGGACUUGGUGGCGGCAAUCAUCAAGGUUCGAUUGAAAUGAAUUCUUGGAUAUAGGUUAAAAAGAAGUGAACAGGCCUUGGUGGAAACCACCAUUAAGGCUUUGAUUCAUGGAAGCCUGUCCAAUCUUGGUCAAUGAUCUUGCAAUAUAAGCAGACUUUGACUAAGAGAGAAAUUAGUAGAGAGAAAAGAUAGGAACUAACUUUUACCUGCAGAUCCAGAUACUUGUUUUAAAAUCCUUGCAUCAUGUGAUUGAUACUCCCAAGGUAAAGCCUGCACUUUUAUUUAUGUUAAGAAAUGAGGUUGGUAGAGGGGAAAGUAAGACAAGAUUUGCUAAGUUGUUGGCUAGGUGAAUUUGGUUGCUAAGCUAGGAUAUGGUAUAAUGUGCUUUUGUGAUUAGGACUUCUUAGAUGUUGAUUGCAAUAUUGUAGAGGUGAUGAUUCUAAGUUUUUAAUCAUGUGAGUC